UUGAAUGUGUAUAAAAUCUAAAGGGAAGUAGAAUAAGCAAUUAGCUUCGUGACUUUUAUCGCUCGGACGAUAGUUUAUAACUCAACAGUCUUAGUUGUAUUUUUUUUUUGUUAUGUGUCUCAUAUGUACCAAUCUGAUGAAGAGGGGGAGCUCCUAAGAAAUUGCUUUGUCCGAAUUUUUUACUGUUUAGUUCUCUUUGAUUGAUGAAUUUG
Molecule: long non-coding RNA, 212 nt
Filed under: Lathyrus oleraceus (garden pea)
Lineage: Eukaryota; Viridiplantae; Streptophyta; Magnoliopsida; Fabales; Fabaceae
Description: Pisum sativum (pea) long non-coding RNA (PSAT_LNC022246)
Source: RNAcentral